This 426-nucleotide ribosomal RNA is filed under the name uncultured bacterium. RNAcentral describes it as "partial 16S ribosomal RNA". It matches the Rfam family "Bacterial small subunit ribosomal RNA", at positions 354 to 796 of the family's 1533-position model. The record is from RNAcentral.
GUGAGGAAUUUUCCGCAAUGGGCGAAAGCCUGACGGAGCAAUGCCGCGUGAAGGAUGAAGGCCUAUGGGUUGUAAACUUCUUUUCUCAGAAAAGAAUUAUGACGGUAUCUGAGGAAUAAGCAUCGGCUAACUCUGUGCCAGCAGCCGCGGUAAGACAGAGGAUGCAAGCGUUAUCCGGAAUGAUUGGGAGUAAAGCGUCUGUAGGUUGUUUAAAAAGUAUUCUGUCAAAGAUUAGGGCUUAACCCUAGAUAGGCAGAAUAAACUUUUAAGCUAGAGUUUGGUAGAGGCAGAGGGAAUUCCCGGUGGAGCGGUGAAAUGCGUAGAUAUCGGGAGGAACACCAAAGGCGAAGGCACUCUGCUGGGCCAAUACUAACACUGAGAGACGAAAGCGAGGGGAGCAAAUGGGAUUAGAAACCCCUGUAGUCC